GGGUGUCCUCUGCGCGCCAGAUGGCCAGGGAGACAGCAGGUCACACUUCCCAGCAGCAGAUGUCGCCAAGAGCAGGAAGCUGAGGGCCAGGAUGGUGAAACCCUGGCCCGCUAUGAGCAACAGCAUCAGGAUCCGGGGCACAUCCCAGCCCGUGUGAGGGACACAGCGAACAGGAGAGGAGUCCGUGGAGGCUGUGAUAAGAAAUUCUCCGCCACCUCAUGUGCCAACCUCAGCGGAGAGCGGCAGUGCUGUCCCGCCCACACAUGGACAGUUAGCUCCAGUCACCUCCAGCCACGGCUGCUACGGGAGUAAUUCACCUUCCCAAGCAAAAUAAAGUACUGGGGCUGGGGAUUUAGCGCAGUGGUGCCU
Fukomys damarensis (Damara mole-rat) is the source of this 369-nucleotide long non-coding RNA. RefSeq lists it as uncharacterized. Lineage: Eukaryota; Metazoa; Chordata; Mammalia; Rodentia; Bathyergidae. The transcript is spliced from 3 exons. The record is from RefSeq and is a predicted model, not a curated record.